GACGAACGCUGGCGGCGUGCCUAAUACAUGCAAGUCGGACGCACAGUUUAUACCGUAGCUUGCUACACCAUAGACUGUGAGUUGCGAACGGGUGAGUAACGCGUAGGUAACCUGCCUGGUAGCGGGGGAUAACUAUUGGAAACGAUAGCUAAUACCGCAUAAUAUUAAUUAUUGCAUGAUAAUUAAUUGAAAGGUGCAAUUGCACCACUACCAGAUGGACCUGCGUUGUAUUAGCUAGUAGGUGAGGUAACGGCUCACCUAGGCGACGAUACAUAGCCGACCUGAGAGGGUGAUCGGCCACACUGGGACUGAGACACGGCCCAGACUCCUACGGGAGGCAGCAGUAGGGAAUCUUCGGCAAUGGACGAAAGUCUGACCGAGCAACGCCGCGUGAGUGAAGAAGGGUUUCGGAUCGUAAAGCUCUGUUGUAAGAGAAGAACGGGUGUGAGAGUGGAAAGUUCACACUGUGACGGUAGCUUACCAGAAAGGGACGGCUAACUACGUG
RNAcentral lists this ribosomal RNA (505 nucleotides) under uncultured bacterium. RNAcentral's name for it is "partial 16S ribosomal RNA". It matches the Rfam family "Bacterial small subunit ribosomal RNA", at positions 28 to 507 of the family's 1533-position model. The record is from RNAcentral.